Molecule: long non-coding RNA, 8647 nt
Filed under: Equus caballus (horse)
Lineage: Eukaryota; Metazoa; Chordata; Mammalia; Perissodactyla; Equidae
Description: lncRNA (ENSECAG00000041640.2)
Source: RNAcentral
CUUGUUUAUUUGAAUGUUUUAUACUCAUUAAAAAAAUCUUUCAGAUUUGAUUUUGACAUUUUUCACCCUUGUGAACACAUAAAAAGUAAAAUGUACUAAGAGAAAUUGGUUAAGAUAUAUCCAUGACAAUGAUAACCACAUCUUAAGACCAUCCAGCUCUCAGAAAUGUGAAUAUAUUCAAAAAUAAACAUCUGUGUACCCACCACCUUGUUUAUGAAAUAGAACAAUUGCCAACACUAUUGAAGCUCUUGAGUAAAUUUCCCUGAUGACAUCUCCCUCCUUUACGCCUGACGGUUAUCUGCUUUUUUUCUAAUUUUGCCAAAUAUCUACCCUAAAUAAUUCAUAGUUUGGUAUUGCGAUUAACAGUUUUGUACAUUGAGCUCAAGCGCAUGUGUUCUGUGACUGUUUUGACUUUAACGUAGGUGAGAUUCAUCCAUGCCGAUGUGCAUAGCUGCCCCCGUUGUAUCUCACAGUAUACAUAUUCCAUAAUUUAUCAGUUCCCCGGUUGAUGGACAUUUGGGGCUAUUUCCAACGUUUUGCUCUUACAUUGUGCUACAUUCUUAUAGUUGUCUCCCGGAACAGAUGUGUGAGAGUUUCUCUGGGGUACAUACUUAGAAGUGACAUUGCUAAGUCUAGACCAUAGCCUGACAAACACUGCCAUUCCCCUCCUCCCCGCCAAUGAAUAUCCCGAGGAAACAUGAGUCCUGUUCUUGCUUAAUCUACAGACCAGACUUAGUACUGUAUCUACAUUCAGGGCCUUCAGAGAGAAGAACAGCAAGAAGAGAAGAAGGUUGUGGUGCUCCCCAGCCCACAGGAGAUGACUUUCCUCCAUAACCUUGGGGAACCAAAGGCAGGCAGUGGUUGAUGCAAGAUGAAGCACUUCUCUUGGCUCCAUUGAGCAUGGGGGUGAGGUGGGGCUCCACUUGACUGGAGACUAGGGUCUCAGGCUUUAGCUUGUUUGAUGUCACAGAAUCCACUGUGAGGUCACUCCUGUGCUGUGAAAGAAGAAAACAGCAAUUCAUUCUGAAAAAGUAUGGUUUUAUUUAUUUAAAAUGAGGGGAAGCUAAGCUGAAAUCAGCUUUGUCUCAUGCUCUGGCUCUUCUCCUGAUGGGCUUUAGAAAAAGUCAUUGUCUCCUUGAUCUCAGAUAUGAUGGCAGCAGUGAUCGCCAGCCCUUCCCCACCCUCUGUUGUCUGCAUGAUCAGUUCUCUGCUGCUUUCCUCCACAGCUUUAGACCUGAUGAUGCCCACCUCUGUAUCACCUGAAGGACAGCAGGCUUUGAGGUUCUUUAAUAAAGAACCGAUCCUGCUGGGUCUCUGACUUGCUUUGAACCCAAAUUACUGUCAUUGCAAUAGGGUCAGCUUUGAGCUUUCAGCAAAGAGCCAGUCCUGCUGAGUCUCUUAUUUUCAGAACCUGGGGCCACUGUGUGGUAGUGUGGGCUUUGAGAUUCUUUAGCAAUGAGCCAAAACUGCUGGAUCUCUUACUUGCAGAGCCUGGAACUACUGUGUAUGCAAUAUGGUAGGCUUUAAAAUUUAUUUAAAAAAAGAGAGAGCCAAUUGUGUGGUGCUUUUACUUGAAGCCCUGGAAAAAAGAGGCAGAGCCAUAAGCAAUGACGGCGCUACAAGGACGACGAGCUCUUUUUCCCCAGGAAGUUCUCAGUGAUGGGGCCAACUGAGCCAGUCAUUGCCCUGAUGGGGCCGAAAGCUACACUCUCCUGUCACCUCAGACCCCCGCUGGAUGCCAAUCCAUGGAGUGAGUGGACUCAAGAUCGCCCCUUAGCUAAGACAGCUUUUAUGUCUGAUCAUCAGGGAACACAAUUCAGAAGGAGGACUGAGUUCUUGAAGAACGUCACCAUGGGGAGUGUUCAUCUCGGGCUGCAAGAUACACCCUUCCGGUGAAGGGCAGCACAGAUGUAACUUUGAGGAUUUGUCCAGUCACAGCAAUGUUACUUCCAAGUGUAUGUGGCAGGAUUAUGAAGUUCCCCGCGCGUUCUCUUCAAGAACAGUGAUGCCAGAGUGGACCAUCUGGUGUGUAAGGCUGCAAGGUGGUACCCAGAGCCUGAGGCAAGCUGGUGAGAUGCCUAACACAGAAUUUAAAGCCACACUCUGAAAACAGCAGAACAGAUGGAAACAGUCUGUUCUCCACUUCAUCUUCAGUCCUAGUAACUAGACUAAAAAAGCUGCACUCUGUUCCUCAACCUCCGGCUCAACCAGAAGGAGGAAAUAACUAUUUCUGUUGGCAGGGUAGUUUCUAUAUUACUACAUCGCGUCGCCUUGAGAAGUGUUUUAAAAGCUGUGUUUCUUGUAUAUUGUUGAAUUUCUAAUAGAAAGGAAAAUCAUUUUGAGUCUCUGCACUGUACUUUUUAGGCAACAUUCUAACACCAAAAUGAGUUGUGGUGUUCAAGGCUCCUACUUGGACUAGAGCUGCCAGCAUUUCUUUGCUAGGUGAAGUGUGACGCGAAAUUAAAAAUUCACAAUAUUCUUUCUUGAGCUUAGGUUUCUUAGCAGAAUCUGAUUUUUAGAUAAUGAAUAUAAUAAUUGUCAACAGCAAAUUGACUGGAAGCACAGAGAAGUUGCAGUUUUUCCUUUAUCCUUAAGAGGUUCUUUUAUUCAUAAUAUUUAUGCAAUGACAGAAUGAACAGUUGAAUUACAUUAAAAUCAUUGAAAUGAUGGCUUUGUCUGUAGGACACCAGGGAAGUGAUUUGUAUUAUUUUACUGGUUGCUUUAAAAACUGUGUAGGCGUGUGUGGAGUGAUGAGAUUAGGAUGAACCUACGCCUCUAUGGUAGACAGGGGCUACAAGAGAGGAGAAUUUAAAUGUUAUCAGAAAAAAGACACAGAGAAAUGGUGAGAUGCUUUAAGGUCAGCAUGAACUAGAUACUGGCUCUUUUUCGAAAUGGAACGUGUACUGACAGACAUUGCCACUUACCCGAACUGAUGUCAAUAUUUUCCUUCUUCAACAGAAAUAUUAUGUGGGUAAUUUUGAGUAUUAUUUUAACCGUGGUCUGCAUUCCCGUGAUUGUUUUCUUCAUCACGGUGCAAGGAAAAUCUAAAAGUAAGUGGGUUGGAGCGAUGUGAAGGCUGUCAUUUGAGUUUGUCCAUUGUUGGGACCUGGUGGAGAAAGAUGGUGACCUGGAAGAGUAAGACGGUUGUCUAGAAGAGUUAAAUGAUCUGUACAGAAAAGAGACGGAAAGCUUGGUGAGUAGGAACGCGAAGGAAGGACCAUUGUUUGGUAGCGUUAUUUCAGCUGGGAAUCUUGGUUUCAUCUUGGUACUGAACGGAGUGUGGUUCUCAGUCCUUCUGUUGGGGACAAGAUGUUAUUUGCUCAGCACAAGAGAAGCCCUCAUGGACCCUCAUCCUUCAGCCCCCCUCAGUGAGGCUUCAGCGAGGAAUGAUUUAGGGCUCUUACUCUCGGUUCUACUGCCCGGAGGAACCUGGUUCCCAUAAUGGAGCAGGUGAAAGGUCCAACAGCAAAACGUGGGACCUCACCACGUGCACUGCAGCAAAAGAAGAACAAAUUAUCAAAAUAAGUUUAUUAGAAAGAAGGCAAAGUACGGAAAUAACCCAUUUUAGAAUAAGGGGAUAACUUAAAGAUAAUUUAAUUUAAACUUUCUUAAACAUUCUCCACUGUUUCCCCAGAGGUUAAUUAGGAGAGGUUUGGGAAAUACUAGAUUAAAUAAAGUUAAAAUUUUUUUACUUAAAAUAUUAACAGAGAUGUUAAAUGGUAAUAUGAAUUAUGAAUGUCUAAAAGCAUUUAAUUUCAAGGAAGAAUAUUUCAGAAAGUAUUAAAUUAAAAAUAUAUAAAUGUCCAAAUUUUAUAAAGUAAAUUAUGGUUUGAAAAAAUAAAAUGGAAUGAAUUAGAGGGUUUUAAAAAAUUUCCAUGGAUGGUUUUUGUUUUGUUCUAUGUGUGUUUCUAAUCUUCCCAAUUUCCAUAAUAAGAAUGUAUAAUAGUCUGAAAAAAAAGUUUAGAAAAAAUAGUCUUCUGAUUUUUCUCCAGUCAUCCUUUCCAUGCUCAUCACUUAAUCAGAUGUAAGGUGAGGAUCCCCCUUUAAGGAAAAUGGUGGAUCACUUGCAAGCCAAACAUCAUUUAAUGGAUGUUCUGCUGGGCCACGCUUCUCUACAGACUCUGACCUCCUUGCUGGGUCCCUGCCUUCUCCUUCCUUUGAGGAGACCCACCGGGAAGGAUCACCUGGGAACACUGGGAGGGCAAGGUGUGGAUGGGGAAGGACAGAAGCCCCUCUCCUCAAGACAGACCUGUUUCUCUCCUGUGGUUUGGUCCAGUUGUUUCACAUGACCAGCAGUGGCCAGUACAUUGCCUUUUCCUAUCCUGGACCACUUCCUCUGCAAUUAAAGUCUAUAGCAUGGAAACCAAAGAAUGGUAGCAUGCACGGGGAGCUAGAUUUACAGUCUUUCCACCCAAUGAGUGAAUAAAGCAACAAACAACAGUCCAUCUUCUUGUCACAGAAUCAUAGGAGGAGUCCCAAAAUGGUAGGAAUCCUAACAAUUUCUUAUUCUGGUAAAAUUCCUGGAGCAUAAAAGGCAUUUGAUUAAUGUUGCAUUGCAUUACAUAUUGAACCCAAUCCCUCGUUUUGCAUGUGAGAAAACUGAGGUCAGGAGGCAUUCUGAGGAUAACUUAGUCCUAGUGACAGACUUGAGAUGGCGACCCUGAACAUCCAACUUCCAGUCUUGUACUUCCUGACUCUGCCCUGGUGUCUGUCCCAGGCAGGGACAAUUCUGAGUUAAAAUACCAUGUUGGCAAUAUUUGUAUUCAACAAGUGCCAGUUGGGACUCUCUUCUUUCCUUGAUCUAAGUAAACCUGCCCUCAAAAUGCUGCUGCAUUUUCCUAAUCCCACUUCCUCCUCAAUCCAAUGCACCUGCCGUGGACCCAUACACUUGCAAGGACUGACUUGGUUGUCUAGAGUGGCAACUAGAAAAUAGGUGAAGUCAUACUCAAUAGUCACCCAGGGGGACAUGGCUUAGCAUUGGCACUCAUCACCCACUGAGGGAGGCUUCAUAUAUUUAAUUUGUCCAAUACGGCUAAAUAAUUCAUAUCAAGCAAAACUUAUUACAUAUUUUAGAAUAGUGAUGGAGUAAAUAGCGAUUGUUUCCCUAUCACUCUUAUUUCUAUAGGGAGAAAAAUUUCUGCAAUAAAUGAAAGACUCAAAACUCUUUAAAAGUUGUAAUGUUUGUUCUGGGAUUGAUCCUCUUACCCAAAGCAGAGCUUCUGCAGCAUCUUCCGAAAGUUUGAUUUCUGGGAAGUUUGGGGCAAAUCUCUCUCUGGCUUUGCCCUAGUUCUUUUUCUUCCAUUUUGGAGGACAUGAACAUCUUCCAGGGAGUAAGUUGCCUGACCCCACGGCUGGAUGUGUUUGGAAAGCUCCAAAUGGAUUAGAGCAUUUAUUUUCCCCCACCCUCUCUAAGCUUCUCCUUUUAUCCAACACAUCGUCUCCAAAAUUUUCCAACCUUUUUUUUUUUGCUAUCAGUGAUUUCAGAACCAACACUUGGAAAGUUUCUUCACUUCCAAUAUUUUCUUUACAUUUUUCCUACGGCCUUCAUAUUUUAGAUUAUUCAAAUGCUUUGUUUUCAUAGUCUAUCUCAAGUAAUCUACAAUGAACAUUUUUAAAAAACAUUUUUCCCCUCCCUUCUUGCCUCCCUUCCUUCCUUCCUUCCUCUCACCUGUUCUCAUCCACUGCCAUCCCAGGCAUCACAGCCUGGGUCAAUAUGAAAGAGCCAAUUUCCCCUUUAACCUCAUACUCAGUUGAAUACAUAUCACAUUUAAUUCAUGAUAUUAUUAUCUGUUUCCCAUGAACAGUGUUACCAUUUUGAUGCCUGGAUUCACAAUUUUAUAACUUUUAAGACAUAGUCAAAAUAGAUUUCUCCAUGGAACUUCCUGAGACCACUUACAAGAAUUCAGAGUGUGCUCUACUUUCCUUGCUAACUGUAGUAGCAGAGAUCUAGUAAUUAUUCACACUUGUGUGCCAAGUCUUUUUUUUCUGUCUCUUCCUUCUCUGUGUCUUCUGAAGUUCCAUGGUCUUUGCUAGAAAUGUAAUCAUCACAGUUGACUUUGGUCUGAAAAUUGGUAACUUCAUCUUCUUACUCUUCAUCAAUCUUUGUAAUACGGUUGUUUUUAAUUAAAGUAAAAUUACAGACAUUUCAGUACAAUGAGUUUCUACCAUGUUUUGACAAUCUCAAACAGUAAAUUCUGACAGACCUUUUUUAUUAUAGUCUUUGGCCUCCUGUUAUCACAUUUGCAUAGUCUUUGUCACCCAUAACAGUUUAUAUGUCCAACAUUGGUGGAAAUAUGAUUCAAAUCUCUGGAUGCUUUUUGAUGUUCCCAUUCAAACUCUGUCUGUCUCUUGUUCUUGAAAAAUAUAGAUUCUUUUCAUUUAUUUUAAAAUUUUUUAAUCUUUUUUUUUUUCCUAGAAGUCUGUGAAGGCUACAAGUCUGCUGGAGAAUGGAAUUGAUAUUGACAGUUUUCCUUGUCACUGUAGUAAUAAAUUCCACAGAAAGGGUCAUCAUAUUUUCAGAAUCACAAUGGAAACCACUACUAUGGUCAAAAUUUCAUCACCAUUGAGUCUAGUCUAGCUGCUUCUCUCUCUCUCUCUCUCCUUCCUUUACUGGAUUCUUUUACUGAUCUCCUCCCACUGCCUGUGAGGCCCCCGAUUCCUGCUAUCCACAUCCAUAUGCUUACCUUAGUGGGACCAGCUCUACUUUGGGGCGGUGGGUGAAAACAUGCUGUGGUGACCUUGGUGCUCUCCAGGAAGGCUUCAAGAGAGCUGGCCGUGGGGCAAUAAAUCAUCCCAGUUUGUAUGGGAUUAGCCUGGUUUUAGUAAUGAAAGUCAUGUGUCCCAAGAAACCCCUUUUCAUGAUGCAAAAACUCCCAGUUUUCUGUAAAGGGUGCAGAAGUUUGGAGGAAAACUAUAAAACCAAUACAGCAGCUCAAAAAAUAGGUCUGAAAGCAAUGCACUUUUUAAUAUCAAAACAAAGCAGCAUAAAUCAUCUGCUUCUUUAGUCACUGUCUCUGGCUUUUCCCCGACCAUGGCUGUCAGUAAUCAGGAUUUGCAGCUCACCGUGAUGAAUCACCAUUGUUGCAUCAGUCUGAGUGAUACGUCUUAAGUGAGCAAAUUAAAUGCCUGGUAUUCAUCAGCAUUGCCCACCCAUCUUUGACUUUGCUUGUAGAUUAGCUGUUGUGCAUUGUAUUGAGAUAGCGCUAAGAUUUUUUUGAAAAAAUUCUGGCUGAAAACUUCCCAGAUUUGAUGAAUAGUACAAACUCACAGAUCUAAAAAGCUCAACGAACCCACAGCAUAAGUAUCCUGAAGAAAACUACACAAAGUCGCACCAUAAUCAAACAGCUUAAAUCCAGUGAAAAAGGGAAAAUCUAAAAACCUGAAAGAGAAAAAAGAUGCAUUAUUCUUAUUCUGUAAUAUAAGCAGCAAGACUAAGUUUCUCUUCCCAUUCAGUUCACGGCACGAUUGAGUUGACCUGUGUGCCACGUCUCUACCCUUACAGUGAAAAAAACAUUCAGAUCAUUUCAAGUUUACAUGAUUCCUCUCCUAUGACACUCAUCAAUCUGCCUUGCACUCUCUGUGAUUCAGCAUUUGGGAUUCUCAUGAGCAGGCAAAGAGAAAAAAGAGGAAAGUGAACAAUCCACUCUAAUGCACUGUGAGCUCCUGGAGAAGGUUAGUGCUUUCAUUGCUCUUGAUUCACCACCCACACCUGAGUCCACGGCCUUUCAGAAUUGUAUCGACAUCAAUAGAAAGUAAGAGGAGAAGAAAAAUCUGACAACCCACCCAGACUCCUCUGCGGUGGAGCUAAAGCUGAUGUGUUUCUUUCCCAUGGAAGAAGGAGUGGUGUCCUCUGCUUCCUGGGCUGCUCCAGACUUUUUCCUUCUUUUCCACCCCUAGUGGUUCCACAGCAGGCUACAGACCAGCAGAAGGACGAUGUUAGGGUUGAUUUGUCCUCUCCAGUGGACACGAUGGUGACGGGAAUGCCCUCUCUCGGGAGUUCUGUCAUUUUCCUGUCUUUCCUUCUAGGCUUCAGCACUGGUUUGGAGACCUUCUGGCUUCCUUCCUGUUUAAUAAUGCAGCUUUCAGUCUGCACACUUGAGAUGAGGGGUCCCGCUACUGGAACUUCAGCUGUUUCUGAAACAGGCUUGUCAGUCGUCUCUGCUCCUGCGAGCACCAUACACAUGCUGCCCUCUGGAGAGAGACUGGCAGCUCCUGCUGACGUGAGGGAAUUACUUGCUUACAAACAUGUUAAGUCCUCACCUCAUAGUGGGGACACGCCGGAAGCACCCGCCCUGGGCAUGACGGCUCUGCUUCCUCCUGGAUCCAUGAAGGCUGCUCCUGCCGGUGUUGAGUCGAUCUGUCCUGAGUAUCCACAGCACCUGCUGUGGCUCCUAUUGUUAUCUCUGCCACUCCUGCUGCUGCCCCUUUGUCAGGCACUGUAGGUUUCGUGACUGCAAGAGUGUGUACAGUACAUCUGCGAGGACUGCUGGAUUCGUCCUCACCCCUCUAAGCAUAAUCAGAAGAGAUGACCUUAAAGAUCUCAGGGAUGAUGUGGGGUCUCCUGAUUCUGACCUGAUUUGGGUGCCUUUCUCCACGGAUCUUCAUGAUCUGUGCUGAAAAGGAAAAGAAAGAAAAAGGGGAAAUGAAU